UACGAAGGAUGCAAGCGUUAUCCGGAUUCAUUGGGUUUAAAGGGAGCGUAGGUGGCCUUAUAAGUCAGUGGUGAAAUCUCUGGGCUUAACCCAGAAAUUGCCAUUGAUACUGUAGGGCUUGAGUAUAGAUGCCGUUGGCGGAAUAUGACAUGUAGUGGUGAAAUACAUAGAGAUGUCAUAGAACACCGAUUGCGAAGGCAGCUAACGAAACUAUAACUGACACUGAGGCUCGAAAGUGUGGGGAUCAAACAGG
This 253-nucleotide ribosomal RNA is filed under the name uncultured bacterium. RNAcentral describes it as "partial 16S ribosomal RNA". It matches the Rfam family "Bacterial small subunit ribosomal RNA", at positions 524 to 776 of the family's 1533-position model. The record is from RNAcentral.